Ribosomal RNA from Astatotilapia calliptera (eastern happy), 119 nucleotides. Lineage: Eukaryota; Metazoa; Chordata; Actinopteri; Cichliformes; Cichlidae. The record is from Ensembl.
GCUUACAGCCAUACCACCCUGAGCACGCCCGAUCUCAUCUGGGCUUGGAAGCUAAGCAGUGUUGGGCUUGGUUAAUACUUGGUUGGGAGACUGCCUGGGAAUACCAGGUGCUCUAAGCU